CUCUAGCUGAGUCAGGAUGAGAAAGGGAAAUAGAAGAUGGACACAGGCAAACACUGAGGCAGGCUGCAGCACAGUGGAUUUUCCUCUGCAGAAAGCCUGGCACAGCCCUGACAGCAAAGCCUGCCACAGGCUUGCACAGCUUCACCGCUAUGUAGCCUCAGUCAGCUCAAGUCACCACUUCUCAAAAGUGUCAGCAAUGGAGUUUUGCAAAAAAAACCACUCACUUUAGUUGUGAUCCUGACUUUGCCUGCUCAGAGGAAAAAUGAUGUUGUCAACAUGAGAUCUCUUGCAAGCCUGCAGUGGUCCCAGAGUCCUGACGUGGGAGAACAUUGUUUUCAGUUUCAACAUCUGAAUGCUAUAACAAAGUAUUUCCUGACUUCUGUUCCCCUUGGAUGUACCCCAGUCCAGCAGUCUGUUCUUUUGAUGUGUCUUCCUCAGCGACUUGGAUAACUGACUCAUUUUCCAACCUUUGAAAGCAACACAACGAGUGAUGCUUGUGAAGGACUCCAGCACAAAAGAAAGCAGACAACUGAGUCAGGCAAAGCUGAUGAUCUCAGUAGAGCUUUCCAGACACAUCACUGAGCAGAACUCAGCUUGUACAGAAAAAAACCUGAUCCCAUACAUACAUCUGAAUAGCUGGGUGUUCAUUCCAAGGCGUUUGGUAAGAAUGCUCUUGCACGCGUUGCUCUUUUGCCUCUCCAAGUUCCACUGUACCUCCUUCCCAUGCUGCCCAGCUUGGAGCCUGGUGACGUGAAGGCUGAUCUUCAGGCAAAUGAAGUUCAAUGGGCCGGGUCCUAUCCCCAUGUUUUCCACUAUUAUUUUCUUUGCCAUCAACAUCCCAUUAUUUUGAAUUCAAGCACUCUGUAAUACUGGUAUUUACAAUCACGUGCCAUCAUUCUUUUACAGUAAGGAAAACAAAUAAAAAGUUGUCAAAUGCAUCACCUGA
Molecule: non-coding RNA, 946 nt
Organism: Coturnix japonica (Japanese quail)
Lineage: Eukaryota; Metazoa; Chordata; Aves; Galliformes; Phasianidae
Source: RefSeq, a predicted model, not a curated record